CCGCCCCCAAGUCAACACGGACUUCCCUCCCUGCGCGCCAGAACUUUGCGUUGUUCUUAGUGGCAUCUGGGGUCGAGGAGGGCGACUGUCAGCCAGUUGGGGGAUGUUUUCUUCUUGGUCUCUCGGCUUCUGCUUCCCUGUGAGCUGGGCAGCCUCAGCCCAGGUCCUAUCCGGUACUCAGCUGGCCUCGGUGUGCACAGCGCAGGCUUGAGUGCAGCCGUGGGGGCGGGCGGGGCAGAAGCAGGGCCCCUGGGAACAGCUGAGUCUGAAGGGUCAGAAGCCACGGCCCCUGUGGGGGGCUCUGGGGCAGCCAGGGGAGCUGCUCGUUAGUCGUCUCUGGGGCAGAAGGAAGGGACCUUCACCUGGGUUGGGACUGGGCCUGGGUCCCCAGUCUCACAGGGAGCUCGUCCUGAUUGUACCUGCCCGGCUGUGACGGCUGAGCCCGGGCUCCUGGAGGCAAGGCCACCUCAGGCCUCCAGGGCCGGAGCCGCAAGGAGCUGCUGGGUUUCCACAGGGCCACGGGGGCUGCGGCCACACGGAGCGGGAGCACAGGUGGGAAGGGUGUCUGUGAAAAAUGAAAUCUGUUGCCGCUUCCUCUAGCUUAAUUACUGGCAUGGUGGUUGCAGAGUUGAAAUGCAGCUUUAAAAGCCUUUGUGAGUAAUUAGUGUCAAACACACAAGAUCUACAAAGCCAUAAACUCACAGCUUGGUGAUAUUACCAAGUACUAAUUAAGAAAGAAAAAAGAAAAUUCCCUUUCAUGAUCAAAUUUUGAGCCCUGCCAAAGAUGAAAAACAAGGCAAUUUGCAGCCGAUGGCGACGCCGGAGGGUAAGUGGCGUCCACAGGAAGAUGGCGGCCGAGCGCGGCGAGCAGGCAGGGUCUGGUUGAGGGCUGGGGUGGUGACGGCGUGAUUGUGCCUGGCUACCGGGUUCUCAGCCAGGCAGCACCUGAUUCCCAGGAGAGAUGGAAUCCCAGCUCAGAAAGGGGAGACUCAUGCGAGGGCAGAGGCAAGGCACCCGCCCAGAAGGAUUGGGGGUCUCCCCAUUUCACAGGUGGGGACACUGAAGCUGAGCUCACAGCCAGGAGAGGGACAGCAGAGUGACGGCCGAGACCAUCUGCACUGCGAGGGAAGCAGCGCCCACCUUCCUUGGUGGUCCGGGAAGGCCGGACCGGCCCCUUGGGUCCCCACUGGCCUCAGCCACUGUGGGCUCGUCCAGCUUCAGCUGCCAGGAGAGGCCAGGCCGAGGUCAGGAGGCUCAGCAGCUGGUUCCAUGACUUCCUCUUCGCUGAGGAGGUCAGGACAGAAGCUUCUAGAUGACAGGCCGCCCAACUUGGUAUAAAACAGCAAAUUUCUGUGCCUGUGCUGUCGGGCUGUGAAUGACUUCUCGUCUGUUUCAUGAGAUGCAGCUUCAGCCCAGGGAGCCAUCAGAUGCAGCCGGGCGAGACGCGGAGCCAAGAGCUGUCCUCGCCCCCCAUGCCACCAGGCCCUCGGGUUCCAAGAUGCAGCUACUGGAGACAGAGUUCUCGCACACCGUGGGCGAGCUCAUCGAGGUGCACCUGCGGCGCCAGGACAGCAUCCCUGCCUUCCUCAGCUCGCUCACCCUCGAGCUCUUCAGCCUCCAGACCGUGGCGUAGCCUGCGCCUCGGGGGCAUAGCCAGAGCCACUCUACUUGGCCUGACCUGCAGGUCCCUUGCCCCGCCAGCCACAGGCUGGGUGCACGUCCUGCCUCUCCAGCUCCACAGGGCAGCGGCAUGACUGACAGACACGCUGGGACCUACGUCGGGCUUCCUGCUGGGGCGGCCAGCACCCUCCCCACGUGCAGACCCCAUGCGUCCCGGAGCCUGGUGUGUGGGCGUCGGCCACCAGCCCGGGCUCCUCACCUUGUGAAAUAAAAUCUUCUCCCCUAGACACUCCCACUCGCCCUGUGUAUCUGUGGCCUAGCCCUAGCAGGGUAGGCGGGAGGAGGGGAAGGAGCUCCCUCAGCAGCCGCCGCCAUCUGCAGACCGGACAACGUUAGGGUGAGUCAGGCAUUUCCGCUCAGGGAGUGCACAGGUGGCAGCUGGGACCAAGGGUGGCUGGGGUGCCCCCCCACCACCAUGGGCUGAGGCCCCUCCGCGUAGCAGCUUCCAGCUCUGCCUCAAGGCCGGGCCCCAGCUCUGGGGCUUCCCUUUGCUGAUGGAACCCGGAUGGAGGCACAGGGGCUGGGGGGACUGUCCUCACAGAUAAGGGUGCAUCGAGGAGAGACUGCCCUCUGUGCCCAUCUCUCCAGGGCCAUAGAAAUACAUUCCAUAGACCUAAGCAGUAUUUGAAUUUUUAUAACAAUAGCAUAUGUGUUUCUUAUGUGAUUUACUAGAAACAAUUUAAUUUCUCGAGUUGUAAAAAGGUGUAUUUUAAACCUGUGUAAAGGUACCUGGAGAUCAUUGUCAUUCAGAAUAACAAAAUAAAACAGCAAUAUAAAAACACAGAUAUUAUCAUAGUACAAUGUUAAAUACUAUAAUAUUCAAGAUGAUAUUAAAAUUACAUAUAUCUACAUCUAUAUGCAUAUAAGGAUGUCAAUAAAUGAUAUUAAUGUC
RNAcentral lists this long non-coding RNA (2572 nucleotides) under Homo sapiens (human). Its description in RNAcentral is "HSALNT0405135". The record is from RNAcentral. Lineage: Eukaryota; Metazoa; Chordata; Mammalia; Primates; Hominidae.